This is a long non-coding RNA of Cornus florida, 723 nucleotides long. RefSeq lists it as uncharacterized. The transcript has 2 exons. The record is from RefSeq and is a predicted model, not a curated record. Lineage: Eukaryota; Viridiplantae; Streptophyta; Magnoliopsida; Cornales; Cornaceae.
UAGUAUGCAAACGGCAUACUUGGUAAUACGUACAUGUGUGAAGGGCCUUUUAGUCAUUUCAUGGGGGCAUGCUUUGGCUAGGUUUAUGCUUGACAUGUGGAGGGGCACUUGGUUGUAUAUUGUGUGUAUAGAUGGUGACUCUUGUUUUGUGAUCCACACAUUUUCUACAACCAUAAAAAAAAAAAUUAAAAAAAAAGUAAGCUGCAGAAUUUUCGUCCCUUGUAUUCCCUCACCAUAGUCUUCUUCUUUACUUGUCAUUUUGAAGGCCUUGUGUUGUGAAUUUGGGUUAGCUUUGUGAAUGAAAAAGAUUCCUAAGAUCCUAGACUUCCUUUUUGAUGCUGAAGUUGUGAGCAUUUUCCACCUGUGGGGUUGUCAAAAUCUGAUUUGAAAAGGAGAAGAGGUGGUUGUAUGUCAAAGAUGGUGUUCUUCAUUUGUUUACAAAGUUGGUGGCUUUGAUUCACUCCUUGGGCUUUUAAAUUUUCUUGAAAGGAUUUUCAAGCUUCUAAGAGGUCAUAACAUGGAUGGUGUGGAGGGUGUUCCUCCUCAACUGUAGACAGAGUUGGGGCUGGUGUUGUUGUGUUAUAUUCCGCAUAAUAGUUUAUGUUUUGUCUUAUAUUUCUUUAGAAUAUUUCUGGCAUGUAAUAAGUGUUAUUUCAGACUUUAAAACUUUGAUGUUGUAAUAUUUGCAUCUUAUCUAUUAAUUUUCAGUCUUGUUUUUGUAAA